This 763-nucleotide ribosomal RNA is filed under the name uncultured bacterium. Its description in RNAcentral is "bacterial SSU rRNA". It matches the Rfam family "Bacterial small subunit ribosomal RNA", at positions 8 to 796 of the family's 1533-position model. The record is from RNAcentral.
AGAGUUUGAUCAUGGCUCAGGACGAACGCUUGCGACGUGCCUAAGAAAUGCAAGUCGAGCGGGGGAGCAAUCCCUAGCGGCGAACGGUCGCGUAACACGUAGGCAACCUGCCCGAAAGACCGGGACAACAUCUCGAAAGGGGUGCUAAUACCGGAUGUGGUCGCUAGAAGACCUCUUCUGGCGAGUAAAUCAUUUAUGGCUUUCGGAGGGGCCUGCGGCCUAUCAGCUAGUUGGCGGAGUAACAGCCCACCAAGGCGACGACGGGUAGCUGGUCUGAGAGGAUGGUCAGCCGGACUGGGACUGAGAUACGGCCCAGACUCCUACGGGGGGCAGCAAUUAGGAAUCUUGCGCAAUGGGGGCAACCCUGACGCAGCGACGUCGCGUGGAGGAGGACGGCCUUCGGGUUGUAAACUCCUUUUCUACAGGAAGAAACAAAUGACGGUACUGUAGGAAUAAGCCCCGGCUAACUCCGUGCCAGCAGCCGCGGUAAUACGGGGGGGGCGAGCGUUGUCCGAAGUUACUGGGCGUAAAGGGCGCGUAGGCGGGCCGCUAAGUCUGCUGUGAAAGCCCGGGGCUUAACCCCGGAGGGUCGGUGGAUACUGGCGGUCUUGAAGGUGCUAGGGGGAGGUGGAAUUGCCGGUGUAGCGGUGAAAUGCGUAGAUAUCGGUAGGAACACCCGUGGCGAAGGCGGCCUCCUGGGGUACUCUUGACGCUGAGGCGCGAAAGCUGGGGGAGCAAACGGGAUUAGAUACCCCAGUAGUCC